This 492-nucleotide ribosomal RNA is filed under the name uncultured bacterium. Its description in RNAcentral is "partial 16S ribosomal RNA". It matches the Rfam family "Bacterial small subunit ribosomal RNA", at positions 29 to 507 of the family's 1533-position model. The record is from RNAcentral.
AGUGAACGCUGGCGGUAGGCCUAACACAUGCAAGUCGAACGGCAGCACAGUAAGAGCUUGCUCUUACGGGUGGCGAGUGGCGGACGGGUGAGGAAUACAUCGGAAUCUACUUUUUCGUGGGGGAUAACGUAGGGAAACUUACGCUAAUACCGCAUACGACCUACGGGUGAAAGCAGGGGAUCUUCGGACCUUGCGCGAUUGAAUGAGCCGCUGUCGGAUUAGCUAGUUGGCGGGGUAAAGGCCCACCAAGGCGACGAUCCGUAGCUGGUCUGAGAGGAUGAUCGGCCACACUGGAACUGAGACACGGUCCAGACUCCUACGGGAGGCAGCAGUGGGGAAUAUUGGACAAUGGUCGCAAGCCUGAUCCAGCCAGACCGCGUGGGUGAAGAAGGCGUUCGGGUUGUAAAGCCCUUUUGUUGGGAAAGAAAAGCAGCAGGUUAAUACCCCGCUGUUCUGACGGUACCCAAAGAAUAAGCACCGGCUAACUUCGUG